RNAcentral lists this ribosomal RNA (426 nucleotides) under uncultured bacterium. RNAcentral's name for it is "bacterial SSU rRNA". It matches the Rfam family "Bacterial small subunit ribosomal RNA", at positions 354 to 777 of the family's 1533-position model. The record is from RNAcentral.
GUGAGGAAUAUUGGUCAAUGGACGGAAGUCUGAACCAGCCAAGUAGCGUGCAGGACGACGGCCCUAUGGGUUGUAAACUGCUUUUAUACGGGGAUAAACUGCGGGACGUGUCCCGCACUGCAGGUACCGUAUGAAUAAGGACCGGCUAAUUCCGUGCCAGCAGCCGCGGUAAUACGGAAGGUUCGGGCGUUAUCCGGAUUUAUUGGGUUUAAAGGGAGCGUAGGCCGUGGAUUAAGCGUGUUGUGAAAUGUAGACGCUCAACGUCUGAAUUGCAGCGCGAACUGGUCCACUUGAGUACGCACAACGUUGGCGGAAUUCGUCGUGUAGCGGUGAAAUGCUUAGAUAUGACGAAGAACUCCGAUUGCGAAGGCAGCUGACGGGAGCGCAACUGACGCUGAAGCUCGAAAGUGCGGGUAUCGAACAGGA